This 87-nucleotide transfer RNA is filed under the name Candidatus Coprenecus stercoripullorum. RNAcentral's name for it is "tRNA-Ser". It matches the Rfam family "tRNA". From Rfam's summary of the family: Transfer RNA (tRNA) molecules are approximately 80 nucleotides in length. Lineage: Bacteria; Pseudomonadati; Bacteroidota; Bacteroidia; Bacteroidales; Rikenellaceae. The record is from RNAcentral.
GGUGAGGUGAGUGAGUGGCUGAAACUAGCAGUUUGCUAAACUGCCGUACUGGAAACGGUACCGGGGGUUCGAAUCCCCCCCUCACCG